RNAcentral lists this unclassified non-coding RNA (298 nucleotides) under Agaricales sp. RNAcentral describes it as "partial contains 5.8S ribosomal RNA, internal transcribed spacer 2, and large subunit ribosomal RNA". The record is from RNAcentral. Lineage: Eukaryota; Fungi; Basidiomycota; Agaricomycetes; Agaricales.
CGCACCUUGCGCCCUUUGGUAUUCCGAAGGGCAUGCCUGUUUGAGUGUCAUUAAAUUAUCAACCUUUCAGCUUUUGCUGUCAGGCUUGGAUGUGAGGGCUUUGCUGGCUUCCUUCAGUGGAUGGUCUGCUCCCUUUAAACGCAUUAGUGGGAUCUCUUGUGGACCGUCACUUGGUGUGAUAAUUAUCUACGCCGCUUGACUUUGAAGCAAAUCUUAUGGGAACCUGCUUACAACCGUCCUUUGGACAACUCUAUCUUAAUUUGACCUCAAAUCAGGUAGGACUACCCGCUGAACUUAA